CCCUAGUAACUGCGAGUGAAGCGGGAAAAGCUCAAAUUUAAAAUCUGGCGGUCUUUGACUGUCCGAGUUGUAAUCUAGAGAAGUGUUAUCCGCGCUGGACCGUGUACAAGUCUCCUGGAAUGGAGCGUCAUAGAGGGUGAGAAUCCCGUCUUUGACACGGACUGCCAGGGCUUUGUGAUGCGCUCUCAAAGAGUCGAGUUGUUUGGGAAUGCAGCUCAAAAUGGGUGGUAAAUUCCAUCUAAAGCUAAAUAUUGGCGAGAGACCGAUAGCGAACAAGUACCGUGAGGGAAAGAUGAAAAGAACUUUGGAAAGAGAGUUAAACAGUACGUGAAAUUGCUGAAAGGGAAACGCUUGAAGUCAGUCGCGUUGGCCGGGGAUCAACCUUGCUUUUGCUGGGCGUACUUUCCGGUCGACGGGUCAGCAUCAAUUUUGACCGGUGGAUAAAGGCUGAGGGAAUGUGGCUCCUUCGGGAGUGUUAUAGCCCUUGGUCGCAUACAUCGAUUGGGAUUGAGGAACUCAGCACGCCGAAAGGCCGGGUACUUGUACCACGUUCGUGCUUAGGAUGCUGGCAUAAUGGCUUUAAUCGACCCGUCUUGAAACACGGACCAAGGAGUCUAACAUGCCUGCGAGUGUUUGGGUGGAAAACCCGAGCGCGUAAUGAAAGUGAAAGUUGAGAUCCCUGUCGCGGGGAGCAUCGACGCCCGGACCAGACCUUUUGUGACGGAUCCGCGGUAGAGCAUGUAUGUUGGGACCCGAAAGAUGGUGAACUAUGCCUGAAUAGGGUGAAGCCAGAGGAAACUCUGGUGGAGGCUCGUAGCGAUUCUGACGUGCAAAUCGAUCGUCAAAUUUGGGUAUAGGGGCGAAAGACUAAUCGAACCAU
RNAcentral lists this ribosomal RNA (880 nucleotides) under Psilocybe serbica. RNAcentral's name for it is "LSU rRNA". It matches the Rfam family "Eukaryotic large subunit ribosomal RNA", at positions 78 to 943 of the family's 3401-position model. The record is from RNAcentral. Lineage: Eukaryota; Fungi; Basidiomycota; Agaricomycetes; Agaricales; Agrocybaceae.